UUCGAUUCUGGCUCAGAUUGAACGCUGGCAGGAUGCUUUAUGCAAGUCGAACGGCAGCACGGACUUCGAUCACGAGUGGCGAGUAGCGAACGGUUGGCGUAAUAUCAGAACGUUGCCUAGUAAAGGAUCUUCGCGGCGAAGCGUAUCUAACCUGCAUACCUCCGGAAAAGCGGGAACCUCGAACUCGCACUCGCUAGAGCGAUGCUCGACGUCGGAUUAGCCAGUUGGAUGGGUAACGUCACCAGGCGAUGAUCAGCGGCGCAGGCACUGAGAGGACGACCAGCCACACUGGGACUGAGACACGGCCCAGACUCCUGCAGGAAACUGGCAGUGAAAUUUUGGACAAUGGGGAAACCUGAUCAGCCAUCCCGUGUGCGAUGAAGGCCUUCGGUUCAAGCACUUUUGGCGGAAAGAAACGGCACGGGAUAAUACCCGUGCAGCUGACGAUACCUGCAGAAUAAGCACCGGCUAACUACGUGCCAGCAGCCGCAGUAUGCGUAGGGUGCAAGCAUUAAUCGGAGUCACAGGCGUAAAGCGUGCGCAGGCGGUUCGGAAAGAAGAUGUAGAAAUCCCCAGAGCUUAACUAAUUUCAUUUUUAACUACCCUGAGCUAAGAGUGUGUCAGAGGUGGAAUUCACGUGUAGCAGUGAAAUGCGUAGAUAUGCGGAGGAACACCGAUGGCAGAAGGCAGCCUCUGGGAUAACACUGACGCGCUCAUGCACGAAAAGCGUGGGAGCAAACAGGAUUAGAUACCCUGGUAGUCCACGCUCUAAACGAUGUCAACCAGCUGUUGAGGCCUUCGGGCCUUGGUAGCGCAGCUAACGCGUGAAGUUGACCGCCAGAGAAUUGCGGUCGCAAGAUUAAAACUCAAAGAUUGACGGGGAUUACUAGCGGUGGAUGAUGUGGAUUAAUUCGAUGCAGCGCGAAAAACCUUACCUACCCUUGACAUGUCUGGAAUCGAGAUUUGGGAGUGCUCGCAAGAGAACCGGAACACAGGUGCUGCAUGUGUAUCGUCAGCUCGUGUCGUGAGAUGUGGGUUAAGUCCGCAACGAGCGCAAUAUGUCAUUAGUUGCUACGAAGGCACUCUAAUGAGACUGCCGGUGACAAACCGGAGGAAGGUGGGGAUGACGUCAGUCCUCAUGGCCCUUAUGGGUAAGGGCUUCACACGUCAUACAAUGGUCAGGACAAGAGGUCGCCAACCCGCGAGGGGGAGCCAAUCGAAACCCGAUCGUAGUCCGGAUCGCAGUCUGCAACUCGACUGCGUGAAGUCGGAAUCGCUAGUAAUCGCGGAUCAGCAUGUCGCGGUGAAUACGUUCCCGGGUCUUGUACCGCCCGUCACACCAUGGGAGUGGGUUUACCAAGUAGUUAGCCUAACCGUAAGGAGGGCGAUUACACGAGUAAGGAUUCAUGACUGGGGUGAAGUCGUAACAAGGUAG
Molecule: ribosomal RNA, 1435 nt
Filed under: uncultured Bordetella sp.
Lineage: Bacteria; Pseudomonadati; Pseudomonadota; Betaproteobacteria; Burkholderiales; Alcaligenaceae
Description: partial 16S-23S ribosomal RNA intergenic spacer
Rfam family: Bacterial small subunit ribosomal RNA
Source: RNAcentral